RNAcentral lists this long non-coding RNA (209 nucleotides) under Elaeis guineensis (African oil palm). Its description in RNAcentral is "long non-coding RNA (EGUI_LNC064007)". Lineage: Eukaryota; Viridiplantae; Streptophyta; Magnoliopsida; Arecales; Arecaceae. The record is from RNAcentral.
AUCUUGGAUCUAUUUAUUAUUUGAAAUUUAUGUUUAUCCUCUAAUAGUUUAUAUUUAUUUAUCCUUUGAGUUUGUGUUUAUCCUAUGCAGUUUUUAUUUAUCGCAUAAGACAAACAAUAAACUCAAUAAUUAUAGAACAUGUAAUAUCUAUGGCAAUAAUCACAGAUAACAUAAAGCAAAUUAUGAUAAUCCCAUCUCAUGACCCUUGA